Molecule: long non-coding RNA, 215 nt
Filed under: Fukomys damarensis (Damara mole-rat)
Lineage: Eukaryota; Metazoa; Chordata; Mammalia; Rodentia; Bathyergidae
Description: lncRNA (ENSFDAG00000026489.1)
Source: RNAcentral
CUGGUAAACAUAAUAUAUUUUUUUCUUGAUACCAGGUAUUGAACUUUGGUCCUUGUGAACUUGGGUCCUUGUGCUUGCAAGGCAGGCGGCAGAACUACUGAGCUAAAUCCCGGGCCAGAGAAAAAGCAGUGUCCCAAAGGCUUCAUGCAGCGGCUGGAGGGAGAUUAUAGACUCAAAUACUAGACCACUUGGGAGCAAUGUGGAAUGUGGUUGCC